This is a non-coding RNA of Vicugna pacos (alpaca), 461 nucleotides long. The record is from RefSeq and is a predicted model, not a curated record. Lineage: Eukaryota; Metazoa; Chordata; Mammalia; Artiodactyla; Camelidae.
GCCUGGGCCUUCUUCUCAUUUCUGACAGAACACAGACAAAACGAGACAUGCCUGGGCCCAGCCCCUUGGACGUGGUUCAGAGCUCAGGCCCAGGGCUCUUCGCCUGGGCGGGCAGGAGUGGGGCUGGGGACAGAGGCUGUCCCUUGCUGGUCUCCAAGUUCUGAGGCCUAAACUGGCUGGGAUCAUUUGCGGGGACGUUGGCCACGGUCCUCGAUGGCGCCGGCCAGCCCCCGGAUUUUAUGAUCUGCGAGCUCCUUUUCCCUGCCUCUCAGACUGAAAGAUGAUAUUCUGUGAUGUACAACCCGCUGCGCCGGCGGCCGGAGGCAGAGGCUGGGGACCCCGGAGAGCCGGCCGCGGGGAGAUUCCACAUAGGAGCGAUCUCAUGUGGUAUUUUUCUUUCUCUCCAAAGAGCUUCUGUGAAUAUGAUUUAUCAAUAUCUACCGAAGUGGAACUUAAAAGGU